Molecule: ribosomal RNA, 255 nt
Filed under: uncultured bacterium
Lineage: Bacteria
Description: partial 16S ribosomal RNA
Rfam family: Bacterial small subunit ribosomal RNA
Source: RNAcentral
UACAGAGGGUGCAAGCGUUAAUCGGAAUUACUGGGCGUAAAGCGUGCGUAGACGGUUAUGUAAGUCGGGUGUGAAAGCCCCGGGCUCAACCUGGGAAUGCCAUUCGAGACUGCAUAGCUAGGGUGCGGAAGAGGGAAGCGGAAUUUCCGGUGUAGCGGUGAAAUGCGUAGAUAUCGGGAGGAACACCAGUGGCGAAGGCGGCUUCCUGGCCUGUUCUUGACGCUGUGGCGCGAAAAGCUAGGGGAGCGAACGGGG